This 416-nucleotide ribosomal RNA is filed under the name uncultured bacterium. RNAcentral's name for it is "bacterial SSU rRNA". It matches the Rfam family "Bacterial small subunit ribosomal RNA", at positions 917 to 1333 of the family's 1533-position model. The record is from RNAcentral.
GGGCCCGCACAAGCGGUGGAGUAUGUGGUUUAAUUCGAUGCAACGCGAAGAACCUUACCAGGGUUUGACAUCCUGCGAAUCUCUUGGAAACUUGAGAGUGCCUUCGGGAGCGCAGUGACAGGUGGUGCAUGGCUGUCGUCAGCUCGUGUCGUGAGAUGUUGGGUUAAGUCCCGUAACGAGCGCAACCCUUGUCCUUAGUUGCCAGCACAUUAUGGUGGGAACUCUAAGGGGACUGCCGGUUAUAAACCGGAGGAAGGUGGGGAUGACGUCAAGUCAGCAUGCCCCUUACACCCUGGGCUACACACGUGCUACAUUGGGCGAGACAAUGAGAUGCAAAUCUGUGAAGACUAGCUAAUCUAUAAACUCGUUCUAAGUUCGGAUUGUAGGCUGCAACUCGCCUACAUGAAGGUGGAAUC